Molecule: long non-coding RNA, 859 nt
Organism: Dreissena polymorpha
Lineage: Eukaryota; Metazoa; Mollusca; Bivalvia; Myida; Dreissenidae
Exons: 3
Source: RefSeq, a predicted model, not a curated record
UGCCAGGGAUAAUAUGACAACUGUUAAUGUUGAGCUCUGAGUGUAGUUGCAUUAGUUUUGUUAAUGAUUUAGAGAGUAUUUUUACAUACAUGGGCAUGUUACUACAAUUUCUUGUAUUGAUAACAAUUGAAAAAAUUAUUUGACAAUAAGGGCUUAAUACACCGAUACACGGUAUCACCUGGCUAGUUUAAAAAUAAGAAUUUCCCAAGACUUACAUGGUUUGAUCUUGCGCCCCUCAUACCUUGUAAACUUCAAAGAAUGUCAAAGUGUACCCUGAAGUAAUCAAGUUUUAGGCAAUAUCUGCUUGUUUAUAAUUGCUUCAUGUGACUUUGCUAGUUUUCUGACCGACAAAACAUCAUAAGCAACAUAAACAUUCACUUAUUUAUGUAAAACUAUUCCAUAUUUUUAUAAAAUAUUAGUUUAAAAUACUACACAAAUGUAUGUUUUGUUCAGGUUCUUGCUUCACUGCGUUACUUGGCAAAGGGAGAUUUUUAUUCAGAAAUUGCUGACUUGCAUGGCAUCAGCAGGUCAAGUUUUUGCCGAAUAUUCCACAACUUCAUUGCAGCUGUAAACAACAGAUUAAAUAACAUCAGAUUUCCAAAUGGAGCUGAGUUGGUAAGAUGCAAACAUGCAUAUUACAGAAAGUGCAGACUGCCAAAUGUCAUUGGUGCAGUGGAUGGCACGUUGAUCCACAUUUGCACACCAACUGCCAAUGAAGAGGCAUAUGUGUGCAGAAAGGGGUAUCAUGCACUGAACAUCCAAGCAGUGGUUGAUGACAAACUCAGAUUUAUUGAUGUAGUGGAACGAUGGCCCGGGUCCACACAUGAUGCAUCAGUUUUUGACAACUGUGGAUUAAAGG